RNAcentral lists this long non-coding RNA (285 nucleotides) under Ananas comosus (pineapple). RNAcentral describes it as "long non-coding RNA (ACOM_LNC020927)". Lineage: Eukaryota; Viridiplantae; Streptophyta; Magnoliopsida; Poales; Bromeliaceae. The record is from RNAcentral.
GGAAGAACGGUAAAUGCGGGAAAAUAAAAAUUACAAGUAGACUACUCCUAGAAAAUGCGAGAAAAAUGCGAGGAAAUAAGGGUGGUCUUUUGUUCAUAGAAAAAAGACCUCUUUUUAGGGCGUUAUUGACCUAUUUAUAGAUCGCCCCUUGAUCACUUAUUGCCUUUACACGAUCGGCCACUAUUUCCUAAUUUUUCGGACCACUUCCAGUCGAUCAGAACCGCUUGCAACUGCUUGCGAUUACUGUAACUUCCCUCAAGUCGCGCGGUUUAAGAUUCUUCCGAU